Molecule: long non-coding RNA, 526 nt
Filed under: Numida meleagris (helmeted guineafowl)
Lineage: Eukaryota; Metazoa; Chordata; Aves; Galliformes; Numididae
Description: lncRNA (ENSNMEG00000018383.1)
Source: RNAcentral
CCAAAGUCUAAAUCUGAGGUAGCUGACCACGGUUUAGCAUUUCUGUUUCCACUGUAGCUUGUUUCUCAGUCAUCUUUGUGUGUAUGUAGUUAGCACUGGCAAUUUAUAAAACAGUCACUACCAGAUUAAGCACAUUAAAUUAACUUAAGAUGGAAAUUACAGUCUACCUAUAGACUGUACGGACCCAACCACCACUAAAAACAUAAAGGAAAGUUCAUAGUUUUGCCACUGUAGUCUGACAGUUUGUUCCCAGCAAUGCAUGCCAUCAAUCACAGCAGCUUGAUAAGGCCCUCACUGUCAUCUGGCUCAGCAAGCCUUGAAGUCUGCUACACGAAGCUGUGAUCUGACGUUAAGCCAGUACUGCAGCUUUGUCCCAAGUUCAAGAUGUAUAGCUCCUAGUGACAGCAGAAGUUAUGAUUACAAGUUCAGCAGGAAAAGAGAAUUAAUAUUGAUCUGCUGUCCAUGCAACCCACUACACAGGGCAGAAAAACUCCAGGAGAAACAGCAUGUUUUGCAGAACAACUAG